CGGUACCUGAAGAAAAAGCAUCGGCUAACUCCGUGCCAGCAGCCGCGGUAAUACGAAGGAUGCAAGCGUUAUCCGGAAUCAUUGGGCGUAAAGGGUCCGCAGGUGGCCAAUCAAGUCGGCUGUUAAAGACCGGGGCUUAACUCCGGGCAGGCAGUGGAAACUGAUUAGCUAGAGUACGGUAGGGGUAGAGGGAAUUCCCAGUGUAGCGGUGAAAUGCGUAGAUAUUGGGAAGAACACCGGUGGCGAAAGCGCUCUACUAGGCCGAAACUGACACUGAGGGACGAAAGCUAGGGUAGCGAAAGGGAUUAGAUACCCCUGUAGUCUUAGCUGUAAACGAUGGAUACUAGGUGUAGCUCGUAUCGACCCCAGCUGUGCCGACGCUAACGCGAUAAGUAUCCCGCCUGGGGAGUACGCACGCAAGUGUGAAACUCAAAGGAAUUGACGGGGGCCCGCACAAGCGGUGGAGUAUGUGGUUUAAUUCGAUGCAACGCGAAGAACCUUACCAGGGCUUGACAUGUCGCGAAUCUAGCGGAAACGUUAGAGUGCCUUAGGGAAUGCGAACACAGGUGGUGCAUGGCUGUCGUCAGCUCGUGUCGUGAGAUGUUGGGUUAAGUCCCGCAACGAGCGCAACCCUCGUCCUUAGUUGCCAAUAUUAAGUUAGGCACUCUAGGGAUACUGCCGGGGACAACUCGGAGGAAGGUGGGGAUGACGUCAAGUCAGCAUGCCCCUUACGUCCUGGGCGACACACGUACUACAAUGGUUGGGACAAAGGGCAGCAAGCUCGCGAGAGUAAGCGAAUCUCAUCAAACCCAGCCACAGUUCAGAUUGCAGGCUGCAACUCGCCUGCAUGAAGUAGGAAUCGCUAGUAAUCGCAGGUCAGCAUACUGCGGUGAAUUCGUUCCCGGGCCUUGUACACACCGCCCGUCACACCAUGGAAGCUGGCUACGCCCGAAGUCGUUACCCUAACCCUAAGGGGAGGGGGAUGCCGAAGGUAGAGCUAGUGACUGGGGUGAAGUCGUAACAAGAUAGCCGUACCUGAAGGUGUGGCUGGAUCACCUCCUUU
This 1063-nucleotide ribosomal RNA is filed under the name uncultured cyanobacterium. RNAcentral's name for it is "bacterial SSU rRNA". It matches the Rfam family "Bacterial small subunit ribosomal RNA", at positions 473 to 1533 of the family's 1533-position model. Lineage: Bacteria; Bacillati; Cyanobacteriota. The record is from RNAcentral.